GAUGAACGCUAGCGGCAGGCUUAAUACAUGCAAGUCGAGGGGCAGCAUGGUGGUAGCAAUACCACUGAUGGCGACCGGCAAACGGGUGCGGAACACGUACGCAACUUACCCUUAACUGGGGGAUAGCCCGGGGAAACCCGGAUUAAUACCUCGUAACAUAUUGUGGUGGCAUCACCAUAUUAUUAUAGCUUUAUUGUGGUUAAGGAUGGGCGUGCGGCUGAUUAGGUAGUUGGCAGGGAACGGCCUACCAAGCCUGCGAUCAGUAACUGGUGUGAGAGCACGACCAGUCACACGGGCACUGAGACACGGGCCCGACUCCUACGGGAGGCAGCAGUAAGGAAUAUUGGUCAAUGGACGCAAGUCUGAACCAGCCAUGCCGCGUGGAGGAUGAAGGCCCUCUGGGUUGUAAACUUUCUUUUUAUCUGGGACCGAAACCACCCUUUUCUAAGGGUGUUGACGGUACCAGAGGAAUAAGCA
RNAcentral lists this ribosomal RNA (477 nucleotides) under uncultured bacterium. RNAcentral's name for it is "bacterial SSU rRNA". It matches the Rfam family "Bacterial small subunit ribosomal RNA", at positions 28 to 492 of the family's 1533-position model. The record is from RNAcentral.